Long non-coding RNA from Dreissena polymorpha, 1955 nucleotides. RefSeq lists it as uncharacterized. The record is from RefSeq and is a predicted model, not a curated record. The transcript has 4 exons. NCBI's taxonomy places the organism in Eukaryota, Metazoa, Mollusca, Bivalvia, Myida, Dreissenidae.
UUAAUAACGAAACGAUAACUUGUCAACAUUGAGAAUCAGAUACUUGGCUUAAUAAUUUUCAUUUAAAAUGUCUAAUUUGGAUAUAAAUCGGAAUACAUAACGAAACUUAAAAGGUAAUUUUUUAAAAAACGUUUCAAAGCACAAUGUGGAUUUCAAUAGAAAUACUAUUUCCACCGACAAUCAGGAUUUCCGGUAUGACCACUGUUAUUUUGACGAUUUUUCUAUCGAAUCGUCGGUAAGCGUGACCGCAUGUGACAACAGCGAUGCCAGUUGGAAAAUUGGUAGACGAGUCGUUGAACUCGACACAUUGGCCGAAUCGCUUUCAGCAUGCAGUGCUUGUCAAGUGCCAUGAAUUUACUUAACACAGUAGAAAGCAGGGAUUUCGGACUGGCAUGUGUUUUGGACAUACAGUGUAGCAAUUGUGGUGCAAUAAAUAAUGUGGCUACUGGAUGGAAACAUGGCAGAGUUUAUGACAUGAACACAAAGCUUGCAUUGGGUUAAUCAGAAACUGGGUGUUUCACCUGGGACUUUCACAUCGAAAAUGGCCCUUCUCCGUGACCUUCAGCACAAAAAAAGAAAGGCUAUAGCUGUUACUCGUGCAGCAAAACAGCGACGCAUAAGACUCAAAACUGGAAAGGCAUUCAAAGGAUAUAGUGCAAGAAGUACGAGAGGGUCCAACAUACUGUUCAAACAUAGAGGACCAAAAUAUUGAAGUUACAACUAUACCCCCACCUGCACCCAAGCCUGGUCCAGCAGGGCUAGACACUACUGGGAAGGAAUGUGUUUUCUUUGAUUUGGAAACAAGAGGGUUAGAGCAUACUUCUCACAUAAUUCAGAUAGCUGCAGUGCAUUCAACUGGUCAGUUUUCAACAUCAUGUGAUGCCAGAGAAGAAGAUGUCAUUGAAAGCGUCAGAAAUAACUGGAGUGACAGUUGUUGGCGACUCUGUGAUUGUCAAUGGACAAACAGUAACAGCUGUCCCCAUCAAAUCUGCAUUGACAAGUUUUAUAACAUUCUUACAGAAAUGUUCACCAGUUAUUUUAGUUGGGCAUAAUAUAGAGUCUUUUGAUUGUAAAGUGUUGCUCCAUGCUAUCCAUACUUGUGGAAAAAUGUCUCAGUUUCAGCAAAAUAUUUGUGGCUUUUUAGAUACUUACCAAAUAUGAAAUCAUAUUAGCGGAAAAAUUUAGUUAAAGACGUCAUUGGUGAAUUAUACAUGGCACAUGGCGCUCUACAGGAUGUUUUAGCUUUACAAAAGUCAGUGAACUCUGUUCCUCUUGACCAAAAUGUUGUAAACAAAUAUUCAUUCAGCUAUGACCGAGCAGUAUUAGCAUACAAUGUGUAACUAAAUGUUGCUUCCAACAUCAAAUCUUUGCAAACCAUGAUUGAUACAAAAGUGUGUAAGUCAAGGUGUUGCAAGGAAAGUUGCAGGAAGUGGAUUGCAACUUAAAGAUUUGAGUACUGUAUCAAAAAGAAAUGGACUGAGUGGUUUGAGGAGCCCCCUGUCAGAGGUUACACACGGACAAAUCAGAGUAACAAAAUCAGAGAAAAAAAUAUGAGCAAUAGCGAGUUAUUUGUUGCCUGACAUCUAACCAAUUGUAAUUUUCAUCUUGUAUAUAGAUUAGCUAUGAAAUCUAAUAGCUGUUACAUAAUUUUUUUUCCUUCUCGAUGACAAACAUAGUUGUGAUUCUUAUGUCAGUUGUAUUUCUCAUGUUUCACCUAAGUUGUAAGAUAUUUUUGGCAGUGCAUUAAACCACAGAUGGUGUGCGAAACAUAAUUGCCCCGCUAAUUGUAUUCUAUGUUGUUUUUUGUAGAUGCACUAAUCUGAUAAAAGUAUUUGCGUAGUCUGAAUUUUGAUUGCUGUUGCUCUCAUUAGUAGUUGUUGUGUACAUGUGUAUCCUAUAUAUGGACAACAACACAUUUUUGUUAAUGAAUUGCAAACAUGGCUUUGCUAAAUGUG